This 2926-nucleotide ribosomal RNA is filed under the name Salmonella enterica subsp. enterica serovar Heidelberg. Its description in RNAcentral is "23S ribosomal RNA". It matches the Rfam family "Bacterial large subunit ribosomal RNA". Lineage: Bacteria; Pseudomonadati; Pseudomonadota; Gammaproteobacteria; Enterobacterales; Enterobacteriaceae. The record is from RNAcentral.
GGGUUGUGAGGUUAAGCGACUAAGCGUACACGGUGGAUGCCCUGGCAGUCAGAGGCGAUGAAGGGCGUGCUAAUCUGCGAUAAGCGCCGGUAAGGUGAUAUGAACCGUUAUAACCGGCGAUACCCGAAUGGGGAAACCCAGUGUGACUCGUCACACUAUCAUUAACUGAAUCCAUAGGUUAAUGAGGCGAACCGGGGGAACUGAAACAUCUAAGUACCCCGAGGAAAAGAAAUCAACCGAGAUUCCCCCAGUAGCGGCGAGCGAACGGGGAGGAGCCCAGAGCCUGAAUCAGCAUGUGUGUUAGUGGAAGCGUCUGGAAAGGCGCGCGAUACAGGGUGACAGCCCCGUACACAAAAGCGCAUGUGCUGUGAGCUCGAUGAGUAGGGCGGGACACGUGGUAUCCUGUCUGAAUAUGGGGGGACCAUCCUCCAAGGCUAAAUACUCCUGACUGACCGAUAGUGAACCAGUACCGUGAGGGAAAGGCGAAAAGAACCCCGGCGAGGGGAGUGAAAAAGAACCUGAAACCGUGUACGUACAAGCAGUGGGAGCACCCUUUGGGGUGUGACUGCGUACCUUUUGUAUAAUGGGUCAGCGACUUAUAUUCUGUAGCAAGGUUAACCGUAUAGGGGAGCCGUAGGGAAACCGAGUCUUAACCGGGCGUUAAGUUGCAGGGUAUAGACCCGAAACCCGGUGAUCUAGCCAUGGGCAGGUUGAAGGUUGGGUAACACUAACUGGAGGACCGAACCGACUAAUGUUGAAAAAUUAGCGGAUGACCUGUGGCUGGGGGUGAAAGGCCAAUCAAACCGGGAGAUAGCUGGUUCUCCCCGAAAGCUAUUUAGGUAGCGCCUCGUGAAUUCAUCUCCGGGGGUAGAGCACUGUUUCGGCUAGGGGGCCAUCCCGGCUUACCAACCCGAUGCAAACUGCGAAUACCGGAGAAUGUUAUCACGGGAGACACACGGCGGGUGCUAACGUCCGUCGUGAAGAGGGAAACAACCCAGACCGCCAGCUAAGGUCCCAAAGUCAUGGUUAAGUGGGAAACGAUGUGGGAAGGCCCAGACAGCCAGGAUGUUGGCUUAGAAGCAGCCAUCAUUUAAAGAAAGCGUAAUAGCUCACUGGUCGAGUCGGCCUGCGCGGAAGAUGUAACGGGGCUAAACCAUGCACCGAAGCUGCGGCAGCGACGCUGAUGCGUUGUUGGGUAGGGGAGCGUUCUGUAAGCCUGCGAAGGUGACCUGUGAGGGUUGCUGGAGGUAUCAGAAGUGCGAAUGCUGACAUAAGUAACGAUAAAGCGGGUGAAAAGCCCGCUCGCCGGAAGACCAAGGGUUCCUGUCCAACGUUAAUCGGGGCAGGGUGAGUCGACCCCUAAGGCGAGGCCGAAAGGCGUAGUCGAUGGGAAACGGGUUAAUAUUCCCGUACUUGGUGUUACUGCGAAGGGGGGACGGAGAAGGCUAUGUUGGCCGGGCGACGGUUGUCCCGGUUUAAGCGUGUAGGUGUGUGUUCCAGGUAAAUCCGGUUCACUUUAACACUGAGGCGUGAUGACGAGGCACUACGGUGCUGAAGCAACAAAUGCCCUGCUUCCAGGAAAAGCCUCUAAGCAUCAGGUAACAUCAAAUCGUACCCCAAACCGACACAGGUGGUCAGGUAGAGAAUACCAAGGCGCUUGAGAGAACUCGGGUGAAGGAACUAGGCAAAAUGGUGCCGUAACUUCGGGAGAAGGCACGCUGACACGUAGGUGAAGUGAUUUACUCACGGAGCUGAAGUCAGUCGAAGAUACCAGCUGGCUGCAACUGUUUAUUAAAAACACAGCACUGUGCAAACACGAAAGUGGACGUAUACGGUGUGACGCCUGCCCGGUGCCGGAAGGUUAAUUGAUGGGGUCAGCGCAAGCGAAGCUCCUGAUCGAAGCCCCGGUAAACGGCGGCCGUAACUAUAACGGUCCUAAGGUAGCGAAAUUCCUUGUCGGGUAAGUUCCGACCUGCACGAAUGGCGUAAUGAUGGCCAGGCUGUCUCCACCCGAGACUCAGUGAAAUUGAACUCGCUGUGAAGAUGCAGUGUACCCGCGGCAAGACGGAAAGACCCCGUGAACCUUUACUAUAGCUUGACACUGAACAUUGAGCCUUGAUGUGUAGGAUAGGUGGGAGGCUUUGAAGUGUGGACGCCAGUCUGCAUGGAGCCGACCUUGAAAUACCACCCUUUAAUGUUUGAUGUUCUAACGUGGACCCGUUACCCGGGUUGCGGACAGUGUCUGGUGGGUAGUUUGACUGGGGCGGUCUCCUCCUAAAGAGUAACGGAGGAGCACGAAGGUUGGCUAAUCCUGGUCGGACAUCAGGAGGUUAGUGCAAUGGCAUAAGCCAGCUUGACUGCGAGCGUGACGGCGCGAGCAGGUGCGAAAGCAGGUCAUAGUGAUCCGGUGGUUCUGAAUGGAAGGGCCAUCGCUCAACGGAUAAAAGGUACUCCGGGGAUAACAGGCUGAUACCGCCCAAGAGUUCAUAUCGACGGCGGUGUUUGGCACCUCGAUGUCGGCUCAUCACAUCCUGGGGCUGAAGUAGGUCCCAAGGGUAUGGCUGUUCGCCAUUUAAAGUGGUACGCGAGCUGGGUUUAGAACGUCGUGAGACAGUUCGGUCCCUAUCUGCCGUGGGCGCUGGAGAACUGAGGGGGGCUGCUCCUAGUACGAGAGGACCGGAGUGGACGCAUCACUGGUGUUCGGGUUGUCAUGCCAAUGGCACUGCCCGGUAGCUAAAUGCGGAAGAGAUAAGUGCUGAAAGCAUCUAAGCACGAAACUUGCCCGAGAUGAGUUCUCCCUGAGACUUAGAGUCUCCUGAAGGAACGUUGAAGACGACGACGUUGAUAGGCCGAGUGUGUAAGCGCAGCGAUGCGUUGAGCUAACCGGUACUAAUGAACCGUGAGGCUUAACCUUACAACGCCGAAG